This 29-nucleotide non-coding RNA is filed under the name Homo sapiens (human). Lineage: Eukaryota; Metazoa; Chordata; Mammalia; Primates; Hominidae. The record is from RNAcentral.
UGGCUGAUCGGGACAGACAAGUGUGUGGA